Molecule: ribosomal RNA, 253 nt
Filed under: uncultured bacterium
Lineage: Bacteria
Description: partial 16S ribosomal RNA
Rfam family: Bacterial small subunit ribosomal RNA
Source: RNAcentral
UACGAAGGGUGCUAGCGUUGUUCGGAAUUACUGGGCGUAAAGCGCGCGUAGGCGGUCUAUCAAGUCAGAGGUGAAAGCCCUGGGCUCAACCCAGGAACUGCCUUUGAAACUGAUAGACUAGAGUACUGGAGGGGAUAGCGGAAUUCCUAAUGUAGAGGUGAAAUUCGUAGAUAUUAGGAGGAACACCGGUGGCGAAGGCGGCUAUCUGGACAGUAACUGACGCUGAGGCGCGAAAGCGUGGGGAUCAAACAGG